ACGCUGACAGAAUGCUUAACACAUGCAAGUCGAUGACUAAGUAUAGCUUGCUAUACAAGGUCAUGGCGGACGGGUGAGUAACGUGUAAAGAACUUACCUUAUAGACUGGGAUAACAGAUAGAAAUGUCUGAUAAUACUAGAUACUAUUACACUGUGGCAUCACAGAGUAAUGAAAGAAUACGCUAUAAGAGAGCUUUGCAUCCUAUUAGCUAGUUGGUAAGGUAAAGGCUUACCAAGGCGAUGAUAGGUAGCCGGCCUGAGAGGGUGGACGGCCACAAGGGGACUGAGAUACGGCCCUUACUCCUACGGGAGGCAGCAGUGGGGAAUAUUGGACAAUGGAGGAAACUCUGAUCCAGCAAUUCUGUGUGUGUGAAGAAGGUCUUCGGACUGUAAAACACUUUUAGUUGGGAAGAAACAAAUGACGGUACCAACAGAAGAAGCGACGGCUAAAUACGUGCCAGCAGCCGCGGUAAUACGUAUGUCGCAAGCGUUAUCCGGAAUUAUUGGGCUUAAAGGGCAUCUAGGCGGUAUAACAAGUUGAAGGUGAAAAGCUGUAGCUCAACUAUAGUCUUGCCUACAAAACUGUAAUACUAGAGUACUGGAAAGGUGGGUGGAACUACACGAGUAGAGGUGAAAUUCGUAGAUAUGUGUAGGAAUGCCGAUGAUGAAGAUAACUCACUGGACAGAAACUGACGCUGAAGUGCGAAAGCUAGGGGAGCAAACAGGAUUAGAUACCCUGGUAGUCCUAGCUGUAAACGAUGAUUACUGGGUGUGGGGAUGAGAAGUCUCUGUGCCGAAGCAAAAGCGAUAAGUAAUCCGCCUGGGGAGUACGUUCGCAAGAAUGAAACUCAAAGGAAUUGACGGGGGCCCGCACAAGUGGUGGAGCAUGUGGUUUAAUUCGACGCAACGCGAGGAACC
Molecule: ribosomal RNA, 918 nt
Filed under: uncultured bacterium
Lineage: Bacteria
Description: bacterial SSU rRNA
Rfam family: Bacterial small subunit ribosomal RNA
Source: RNAcentral